RNAcentral lists this non-coding RNA (24 nucleotides) under Mus musculus (house mouse). The record is from RNAcentral. Lineage: Eukaryota; Metazoa; Chordata; Mammalia; Rodentia; Muridae.
UGUGUGGCCAAUUCCUGACUUACC